UACAUGGGGUGCAAACGUUGCUCGGAAUUAUUGGGCGUAAAGCGCACGUAGGCGGUUUGUUAAGUCGGAUGUGAAAUCCCUCGGCUCAACUGAGGAAGUGCAUCCGAAACUGGCAGGCUUGAGUACUAAAGAGGGUCGCGGAAUUCCCGGUGUAUAGGUGAAAUUCGUAGAUAUCGGGAGGAACACCGGUGGCGAAGGCGGCGACCUGGGUAGAUACUGACGCUGAGGUGCGAAAGCGUGGGGAGCAAACAGG
This 253-nucleotide ribosomal RNA is filed under the name uncultured bacterium. RNAcentral describes it as "partial 16S ribosomal RNA". It matches the Rfam family "Bacterial small subunit ribosomal RNA", at positions 524 to 776 of the family's 1533-position model. The record is from RNAcentral.